RNAcentral lists this unclassified non-coding RNA (881 nucleotides) under Caulophyllum robustum. Its description in RNAcentral is "partial contains partial tRNA-Leu gene and 3' flanking region". The stretch from base 1 to 423 matches the Rfam family "Group I catalytic intron", at positions 36 to 253 of the family's 253-position model. The record is from RNAcentral. Lineage: Eukaryota; Viridiplantae; Streptophyta; Magnoliopsida; Ranunculales; Berberidaceae.
ACCUACUAAGUGAUAACUUUCAAAUUCAGAGAAACCCUGGAAUUAAAAAUGGGCAAUCCUGAGCCAAAUCCUGUUUUCAGAAAAAGGGGGGAUUCAGAAAGAAAAAAAGGAUAGGUGCAGAGACUCGACGGAAGCUGUUCUAACGAAUGGAGUUAACUGCGUUGGUCGAGGAAUCUUUCUAUUGAAACUCCGGAAAGGAUGAACCAAUAUACAUACGUAGACGUACUGAAAUAGCAAAGAUUAAUGAGAUCCGAAUCCAUUUUUUUAUAUGAAAGAUUGAAAAAUUCUUGUGAAUCGAUUCCAAGUGGAAGAAUAAAAUAUUCACUGAUCAAAUCAGUCACUCUAUAGUCUGAUAGAUCUUUUGAAGAACUAACAAAUUGGACGAGAAUAAAGAUAGAGUCCCAUUCUACAUGUCAAUAUCAAUACCGACAACAAUGAAAUUUAUAGUAAGAGGAAAAUCCGUCGACUUUAGAAAUCGUGAGGGUUCAAGUCCCUCUAUCCCCAAUAAAAGGUUGGUUUUACUUCCUAACUAUACUAUUUUUUGCAGCGGUUCAAAAUUCGCUAUGUUUCUCAUUCACUCUACUCUUUUCUUUACACAAACACAAAAAACUUGGCAGAGAAAUGUUUCUCUCUUAUCACAAGUCUUGUGAUAUGUACGAUAUACAUACAAAUAAACAUCUAUGAGCAAGGAAUCCCUAUUUGAAACAUUCACAGUCCAUAUCGUUAGUUUGAAUUAAACUUAACUAAAAAAAAGUAUUCUUUUUGAAGAUCAAAAAAAUUCCAGGGCCUGGGUAAGAGUUUGUAAUGCUUUUUUAAUCUAUUUAAUUGAAUUGACAUAGGCCCAAGCCUUUUAGUAGUAUGGGAAUGAUGCAUCGGGAAGA